GCUCGCGUAGCUCAGUGGAUGAGAGCGUCGCGCUACGAACGCGAAGGCCGGAGGUUCGAAUCCUUCCGCGAGCGCCA
This 77-nucleotide transfer RNA is filed under the name Defluviimonas salinarum. RNAcentral describes it as "tRNA-Arg". It matches the Rfam family "tRNA". Rfam says of the family: Transfer RNA (tRNA) molecules are approximately 80 nucleotides in length. Their secondary structure includes four short double-helical elements and three loops (D, anti-codon, and T loops). The record is from RNAcentral. Lineage: Bacteria; Pseudomonadati; Pseudomonadota; Alphaproteobacteria; Rhodobacterales; Paracoccaceae.